GAGCUCACCUGGUAGAGCAAGGCAUUAACACUGCCAGGGUUAGAGGUUCGAUUCCCUGUUGAGCUCA
This is a non-coding RNA of Merluccius polli (Benguela hake), 67 nucleotides long. The record is from the annotation of a GenBank genome assembly. Lineage: Eukaryota; Metazoa; Chordata; Actinopteri; Gadiformes; Merlucciidae.